This is a non-coding RNA of Sturnus vulgaris (Common starling), 226 nucleotides long. NCBI's taxonomy places the organism in Eukaryota, Metazoa, Chordata, Aves, Passeriformes, Sturnidae. The record is from RefSeq and is a predicted model, not a curated record.
UCUUGUGCUGCAGACCAACGACCUGACCUCGGUGCACCUGGGGGUGAAGUUCAGCUGCCGCUUCACCUUGAGGGAGAUCCAGGAGCGCUGGUACUCGCUGCUCUACGACCCUGUCAUCUGCAAGCUGUCGUGCCAGGCCAUGCGGCAGCUGCACCCCGAGGCCGUGGCCGCCAUCCAGAGCAAGGUUCUGUUCAGCAAGGCCGAGGAGCAGCUGCUGACCCGCGUG